RNAcentral lists this ribosomal RNA (746 nucleotides) under uncultured Finegoldia sp. RNAcentral describes it as "bacterial SSU rRNA". It matches the Rfam family "Bacterial small subunit ribosomal RNA", at positions 28 to 776 of the family's 1533-position model. Lineage: Bacteria; Bacillati; Bacillota; Tissierellia; Tissierellales; Peptoniphilaceae. The record is from RNAcentral.
GACGAACGCUGGCGGCGUGCUUAACACAUGCAAGUCGAACGGGAUUUAGUAGACGGAAGCCUCGGUGGAAGAUUACUAAUGAGAGUGGCGAACGGGUGAGUAACGCGUGAGCAACCUGCCUAUGACAGUGGGAUAGCCUCGGGAAACCGGGAUUAAUACCGCAUAAAAUCGUAGAAACACAUGUUUUAACGGUCAAAGAUUUAUCGGUCAUAGAUGGGCUCGCGUCUGAUUAGCUAGUUGGUGAGAUAACAGCCCACCGAGGCGACGAUCAGUAGCCGGUCUGAGAGGAUGAACGGCCACAUUGGAACUGAGACACGGUCCAAACUCCUACGGGAGGCAGCAGUGGGGAAUAUUGCACAAUGGGGGAAACCCUGAUGCAGCGACGCCGCGUGAACGAAGAAGGUAUUCGUAUCGUAAAGUUCUGUCCUAUGGGAAGAUAAUGACAGUACCAUAGAAGAAAGCUCCGGCUAAAUACGUGCCAGCAGCCGCGGUAAUACGUAUGGAGCGAGCGUUGUCCGGAAUUAUUGGGCGUAAAGGGUACGCAGGCGGUUUAAUAAGUCGAAUGUUAAAGAUCGGGGCUCAACCCCGUAAAGCAUUGGAAACUGAUAAACUUGAGUAGUGGAGAGGAAAGUGGAAUUCCUAGUGUAGUGGUGAAAUACGUAGAUAUUAGGAGGAAUACCAGUAGCGAAGGCGACUUUCUGGACACAAACUGACGCUGAGGUACGAAAGCGUGGGGAGCAAACAGG